RNAcentral lists this ribosomal RNA (628 nucleotides) under Parechiniscus chitonides. RNAcentral's name for it is "eukaryotic LSU rRNA". It matches the Rfam family "Eukaryotic large subunit ribosomal RNA", at positions 674 to 1252 of the family's 3401-position model. Lineage: Eukaryota; Metazoa; Tardigrada; Heterotardigrada; Echiniscoidea; Echiniscidae. The record is from RNAcentral.
UUCAACAUAUGCGCAGGUUGUUGGGUGUCUGGUAUACCCGAAGGCCUAGUGAAAGCAAGCGAUGCCAUUUGAUGGUAUCACAGUGGCGAGAUCUUGGCAUUUAUACAUGCUAAGCGCAUCGCCGACCCGUUUAAAGGCCACGCGCCUUGGACGGAGUUUGAGCGCAUACGCUGAGACCCGAAAGAUGGUGAACUAUGCCUGGGCAGGAUGAAGCCACAGGAAACUCUGGUGGAAGUCCGUAGCGAUUCUGACGUGCAAAUCGAUCGUCUGACCUGGGUAUAGGGGCGAAAGACUAAUCGAACCAUCUAAUAGCUGGUUCCCUCCGAAGUUUCCCUCAGGAUAGCUGGUGCUCGUUUUUAAGCAGUCUCUCCCGGUAAAGCGAAUGAUUAGAGGCCUUGGGACCGAAACGGUCUCAACCUAUUCUCAAACUUUAAAUGGGUGAGAAGUCCGGCUUACUUAAUUUGAAGUCUGGACCAUAUACUUGGAUGCAUGAGUGCCUAGUGGGCCAUUUUUGGUAAGCAGAACUGGCGCUGUGGGAUGAACCGAACGUUGAGUUACGGCGCCUGAUUAUAGACGCUCAUCAGAUACCACAAAAGGUGUUGGUUGCUAUAGACAGCAGGACGGGGCC